AACAGAUUAAUAUUCAGCAGAGCGAUAAAUGCAUCCUUCUCCUUAAUUCUGCUGCAGGCAACCCUGCAGGCACCUCUGUCCUUGGUUGCUUUGAUCAGCUCCACCUGUGCCCACACCUGCUGCCCAUGGACGGCUAUACUUCUGACUUUUUACUCUGCCUUUGACUGGAGUUUGUGGGGCUGUGGUUGGAGGUUUUGGCUGCUGUGGAACUGCUACAUUGGCUUAGUGAACCUAUCUGUACCUGUUGGCGAUUUGAACCUCUGCCCACACAGCCCUGUGACCAGAGACUUUCAACAGUUCCAAGCUAAAUAGAGAGAAAUGAAGGAAAGGAGGAGAAAAAAACAGAUUGCAGCUCCACACCCAGUGGUUUUUGUUGCAGUAGAGACCAUGACCACAUCUGUAUUUCAUGUUAUCACAUGGCCAGAGUAUUCCC
RNAcentral lists this long non-coding RNA (433 nucleotides) under Phasianus colchicus (ring-necked pheasant). Its description in RNAcentral is "lncRNA (ENSPCLG00000007106.1)". The record is from RNAcentral. Lineage: Eukaryota; Metazoa; Chordata; Aves; Galliformes; Phasianidae.